This is a long non-coding RNA of Megalobrama amblycephala (Wuchang bream), 1942 nucleotides long. RefSeq lists it as uncharacterized. NCBI's taxonomy places the organism in Eukaryota, Metazoa, Chordata, Actinopteri, Cypriniformes, Xenocyprididae. The transcript is spliced from 4 exons. The record is from RefSeq and is a predicted model, not a curated record.
GUUUACAGGCAUGGUCCUCUUGAAGGUGCACUUUACAGCACUUCCCAGCCACCUGGUCCUUUUGUAGUUGCUUCAUUACUUGUCAUUUAGCACAGGCGUUGGCUGGCACCCUUCUUGGCAGUAUUAAUCUUUGAUGAGUGUUAUAGGCUCAGAUAAACCACAGGACACUUCUAGCAUCUUUUCCAUUUUGUUAGGCAUUUAACAGAAGUCUUUCUCCAGAGCGACUUAUGAUUGAAAACUGAUGAGUUCGCCUGACUAUGGUUUGUUCAAAGAUCAUUUGGUCUGGGCUGACCUUGUAUAAUCUUUAAUUUUCUGGCUGAUUCAUUAUUCCAGUCCACCCACAAUCUAAUGUGUCAUGUGUGGUUAUAUUUAAGAUAGAUACCCAGGUCAUGUCUAAAGCCUGAGGAAAAACACACUUUUAUUUUAUUUAUUUAUUACUUUGUUUUAUUGUUAUAAUUAUUAUUUGCAUGUUAUGCUAGAAAUCCCCAAAAUAAAUUCACACUUUUGAUUUGGCCUUUUCCACUUUCUCCUUAUCUGUUACUCCCACCAUCUGUCUUUCACACAAGAGGCAGUUGAAAAUACUGUGUAAGGAAUCUUAAUGAAAAGCUGUGACUGGACUCAAGUGGCUAAGUCAUGGACUCAAUAGCCUUUAGAUAAAAUAAAAUGAAAUAAAAAUAUAGCCUACUGUAUGUCUGAACAUAAGUUAAAUUGUCCUUUUUCCAUUGACCCACUUUGUGGGUGUGAAUGUUCACAAAUAGCUUCUGUGCUGUGUGAGAUAUAGCUUUUAGAGCCUCAUGCCUUAAAAGGACAUAAACAAUUCUUGAAAUAUUUCAAAAUGACAACUGACCCAUCUGUCUAUGACAUAACGCAAAGUCCCUUACAUUUGCAUGCUGGUUAAAAAUGUGGCUUACAUGAUAUGCCAAGAACCUCAGCUGCUGGGGAAGAAUAUACAUGAAGAAAAACGUGCAAAAAAAAAAAAAGGCUAUACAUUUAUUCCAUAAUGAUGUUGGGGGAAAAAAGGAUAGCACAUGUUGGCAGUGUAUUUAAAUUACAUGUUCACAAUCAUCCACUGCGUCAGAGGAAAAAGUGUCAAAACUGUAUUUUGGCCUGAUUGACGAGUGUAAGUAUUAAAAGGCACAAUAUGUACGAUUUUUUUAUAUUAAAAUAUCCAAAAAACACUUGCACAGUGUUAUAUAAUUAGUUCAGCUGUGUACUUACAUUAUCCUAAAUGUUUCCAAGAAUUAGUAAAUUCAGAGAAAUUCAUCAUUUUAAAUAGUGCUCGUCCCUCCCUUGUCGCCUGUCAAUGAUGUAAUAUCUGCUUUAUCCCUGGUUUCCUUGUACUGCAUAGUAACCAUGGCAACAGACGCAGACAGCUGCGUAAAGUCUAGCGGCACGCUGUUGUUUCGUUCAAACAUUGUAGACCAAACAUUGUGGACCAUGGCAAGCAAACUUUGGGACAAAAGGAUAAAUAAAACAAGGAUCAAUAUCAGCGUGGCGUUUCUGAGAGCUUAAUUGCGACAAACUUUGACUUGACGCCGCUCUUGCACAUUAUUAGACAAGGUGGAUCCUGCAAAGCCUGAUUAUGUGACGUGCAGUUCUGUCUCUAUAUAUCUUCGUAUGAUUUAAGUGUUUCUAUGUCCCACGGUGUUUGUGUGGUUUGUCCUGUGAGGCUCCCCAGUGAAAUGUCAGAUAGAAACCACAGACAGCAGACAGAUUAUCCUCAGGAACUUCAGUUAAUCCACGAAAGUGACGCUGAUUAACAUCAUUGAUGCCACAGAGAUUUCAUUGUCACCCCAUCCAGAGUCACCCUGACACACUAUACAUGCCUUACAAGAGUGUGUAAAUGAAGAUGGAAACUAUCUCAGAAGAAUUAGCCUACCUGACGAUUCAAAGGUUUGGGGUUGGCAUUAUUUUGUAAUGUUUUUGAAAUAAGUCUCUUAUU